Pan troglodytes (chimpanzee) is the source of this 2124-nucleotide long non-coding RNA. RefSeq lists it as uncharacterized. The record is from RefSeq and is a predicted model, not a curated record. Lineage: Eukaryota; Metazoa; Chordata; Mammalia; Primates; Hominidae. The transcript is spliced from 3 exons.
ACUCUCUUGCUUUCUCUGUCGCAUGCACUCUCUUGCCUUUCCACCUAGUUUCCAUGUUAUGAUGCAGCAAGAAGGCCCUUGCCAGAUGUGGCUCCUGGAUUGUGGACUUUUCAGCCUCCAGAACUGUGAGCCAAACAAACUUCUUUUGUUCAUAACUUCCCCAGUCUGUGAUAUCCUGUUACAGCAGCAGAAAAUGGACUAAGACACCCAGGAUGUACCUGGAACCUGGAAAAAGGGGCAGAUCUGCAUCACGGGCUUGCAUGUCCAAUUUCACCUUGGCACUUGCUUCUCCGAGGGCCUGGACAUGGGGCUUCGUUUGAGUCUGGAAGCAGUGGAGAGGGGCCAGAAGCUCCAGACCUUGGCUUGGAGAUCUCUACAGGUGUGCAUGGAGAUGUUUGAAGUGCUAAUGGCUGAGACAGAGCAAGUGGCAGAGGCCUAGGAGACGGAGGCUGAAAGAGUCUGAGGAGGAAAGGAGGCACUGAGGGACUCACAUGAAGCUACUCUGUCAGCAUUCUAAAACUUCUGACAUUCUUUUCUAUGAAGAUAAUUGAAUCACCAAAUUUGAUGAAAUGUUCCCCAAAUAUCAGGUAACAGAUUUUCUGUGGGGGUCUAUGGAUACACUUUAAAGUCAAGGAGAAAAUUUUUGGAUUGUUUUCCAGCGUGGACUAUUUCUUCACUGACAAGGAUUUAAAAACAAUAAAGCAUUGUACAUCGACAGAAAACAUGACACAUGUGGACCUUUCUGUAGAAGAACACAUUGCAAUCUGAAAAUCUAGAGAAUAUAAACUUGUCUUGAACAUUGUCCAAGAAAUUUUACUUAACAAAUUACUGAAGAGUCUGAGUCAUUCCAUGUUAGAGCAUAUCUUUGGUGAUACUCUUAUAGUAAGGCUUAAGAGCAUUAUAGUAACAGUAAAAAUGUUGUACUAUUUUUGUAAGAAGUUCUGUCCCAUUUCUGGGAUUAGUAAUGUGUGUGGGUCACUGAGUAUUUGUUGGAUACAUUCUUAAAUUGAGUUAAAUUUCUGCAGGUGUAGUCCCUUACAGAUAUUCCUAUUCAAAAUUUUUCUUCCCAUUAAAAACAGCAUUAGGGACCUUAGUGUACAGGGAUCUACAUUUAAAAACACAGGAAAGGAAAAGUGAAAAUGUUUUGAGUUCACGUUAUUGGGAUUAAGGCAGAGAAAAUGUGAGAAAGGCAAUAUUUGAUGAAAUAAUGCCUGGUGACUUCCCAGAAUUAUUGAAAAGUAUGAAUCCUCAGAUUUAAGAAUAAUAAUAAUCCCAAAGCAAGAUAAAUAAAACAAAUCUAUAUCUACACACAUCAUAGUGUCUUCAAGAUCUGAAGGAAGAGAUAAAAGCAAGUUGCUGCACAUACUCUAAGGUUCUCAACUUCUAAUGACCUAUCCAGAAAGCAAGUAAACAAACAUGUAGAUUCCUGGGCCCUACCACUUUAAGAUUCAGAUUCAGUUGAUCUAGGGUGAAGUCUAAGAGCUACAUUGCUAACCAACUCCAUAGGCCACACUUUUGGGCGGCACUCAAUGAGUGUAAGAGCAGACUUCUCAACAUCAGCAGUAGAGGCCCUAAGAUGGAAAAUAAUAUUUUCAAAAUGCUGAAAGAAAAUAAUUAUCUAAUUGGUAAAAUACACUUGGCUAAAAUUGCAUUUAAGAAGGAGAGUAAAAUGAGAUAUUUUUGGACAACUAAGUAUUAAGGGUUUAUUACAAACAGAUCCUCAGAAAGGAACUUCUAAAGGACUUACUUUAGGAAGAAGAAGAAAUAAACAAAGAAUGUGUCUGAGAUUCAACAAGGAUUGAUGAGCAAAGGGUUAAUGUGUGGGUACAUCUAAAAUGUUGAGCCUAUUUAAUAUUUACUUUUGCAGGUGAAAAAAUGAAAUUAGUAUUAGAAAUGUGGUAAAAAUAUCUGGUGAGCUAGGUAAUUUUAGGUAAAGCUUUCUAAGAGCCUUUGUUUCUUAGAGAUAUUUUAUUUCUUAGGUAGAGCUUUUAUUUCUUAGAGAUAUUGAUUAAUUUUUAGUUAUAUAUGAAUAUUAGCUUAUUAAAGUUUAUUCCUAAAGGAAUAAGAAUAGAAUGAAUAACUUUCAAAAUUUUGAAAUUAAAAGGUUAAAAAAUAGAAUCAAUC